RNAcentral lists this long non-coding RNA (383 nucleotides) under Olea europaea (common olive). RNAcentral describes it as "long non-coding RNA (OEUR_LNC013639)". The record is from RNAcentral. Lineage: Eukaryota; Viridiplantae; Streptophyta; Magnoliopsida; Lamiales; Oleaceae.
UGGUCUCCUUGUUAGGGAAGGUCUAAUCUCUCUUUAGUUAUUUACCUAUGCUUUCAUGCUCCCUAUGUCUCUAUAUUUGGAUUGAUAUUACUAAUUUUCUUCAGAGAAUAAAGUAACUUGUUUUUAUUUAUGGUAUAUUUGAUCUGUCGGAUUAGAUAGUUAGAUCUGUGGAUCAUUAAGAAUGAGAGAUUUGUCUAGUUCUCGUUCAGUUACGCCCAUGCCUUGAUGAUUUGGAACAUUGGGAUAUACUUAUUAAGUAUUUUACUUCUGGAUAAUUGAGUGAUUUGCUUAUAUUUAAGGCGCAGAGUGGUUUAAUGUGUUGGAUUGAAUUGGUAAGCCGUGAUUUGAAAAAUAGAGAUAUACUGGUAAUUCGUCUAUGACUA